ACAACUUUCAGCGACGGAUAUCUCGGCUCAGGCACCUAUGAAGGGCGCAGCGAAAGCGAUAGUCUUUGUGAAUUGCAGAUCUCCGUGAACCAAUGGCCCCCUGAACGCGCAUUGCACUCUUGGGACUUCCUGAGAGUAUGUUUGCUUCAGUGCUU
This 155-nucleotide ribosomal RNA is filed under the name Symbiodinium sp. clade D. Its description in RNAcentral is "Durusdinium sp. clade D 5.8S ribosomal RNA". It matches the Rfam family "5.8S ribosomal RNA". Rfam says of the family: 5.8S ribosomal RNA (5.8S rRNA) is a component of the large subunit of the eukaryotic ribosome. It is transcribed by RNA polymerase I as part of the 45S precursor that also contains 18S and 28S rRNA. The record is from RNAcentral. Lineage: Eukaryota; Dinophyceae; Suessiales; Symbiodiniaceae.